GUUUAUUCUCUGCCUUUCUGCAACAACCUUGUACAUGUUUGACAUCUCCUGUUUAUCCCCUGACCAAUUCUCCAUCUCUCUUUCCCCAGAUUUUCAGCCCUGGUGCUGGUCUCCACUGCAACUUUCCUCUCCGUACUUGCUUGAGCACAGUGCUGAAGACCAGACAGUGGCUCUCCAGGCAUAUAUGUAUCUGGGUGAUGUUGUGCAGCAAGUGACAGUGUCUAGGAAACAUCCCCAGAACAUCACAAAAAUAUCUGCGCUCCUGAUUUGGGGAGAGGAUGUGCUGCAUGGCCCAGAGGAAGCUCACGAGCAUCUCUCACCUGAGGAACCAGCCACCAAAUUUGUCGACAGUUUACAUGGUACACAGGAGGCAACUCUGCCCUGGGCAGUUCUGUGGGCUCCAUGA
Cairina moschata (Muscovy duck) is the source of this 406-nucleotide long non-coding RNA. Lineage: Eukaryota; Metazoa; Chordata; Aves; Anseriformes; Anatidae. The record is from Ensembl.